CUGGUUGAUCCUGCCAGUAGUCAUAUGCUUGUCUAAAAGAUUAAGCCAUGCAUGUCUAAGUAUAAGCUUUUAUACGGCAAAACUGCGAAUGGCUCAUUAAAACAGUUAUUGUUUAUUUGAUGGUCAAUUACUACACGGAUAACCGUGGUAAUUCUGGAGCUAAUACGUGCGUUAAGCCUGACUUUUGUGGAAGGGCGGCAUUUAUUAGAUAAAGAACCAUCUCACGCUUCUGCGUGAUGUAUUGGUGAUCCAUAGUAACUGAGCGAAUCGCAUAGCCUUGGCUGGCGAUGGUUCAUUUAAGUUUCUGACCUAUCAGCUUUCGACGGUAGGGUAUUGGCCUACCGUGGCUAUGACGGGUAACGGGGAAUUAGGGUGCAUGGCUU
This 383-nucleotide ribosomal RNA is filed under the name uncultured eukaryote. RNAcentral describes it as "SSU rRNA". It matches the Rfam family "Eukaryotic small subunit ribosomal RNA", at positions 4 to 382 of the family's 1831-position model. The record is from RNAcentral.